CUGCGAAUGGCUCAUUAAAUCAGUUAUCGUUUAUUUGAUAGUACCUUACUACUUGGAUAACCGUGGUAAUUCUAGAGCUAAUACAUGCUAAAAACCCCAACUUCGGGAGGGGUGUAUUUAUUAGAUAAAAAACCAACGCCCUUCGGGGCUCCUUGGUGAUUCAUAAUAACUUAACGGAUCGCAUGGCCUUGCGCCGGCGACGGUUCAUUCAAAUUUCUGCCCUAUCAACUUUCGAUUGUAGGGUAUUGGCCUACAAUGGUUUCAACGGGUAACGGGGAAUUAGGGUUCGAUUCCGGAGAGGGAGCCUGAGAAACGGCUACCACAUCCAAGGAAGGCAGCAGGCGCGCAAAUUACCCAAUCCCGACACGGGGAGGUAGUGACAAUAAAUACUGAUACAGGGCUCUUUUGGGUCUUGUAAUUGGAAUGAGUACAAUUUAAACCCCUUAACGAGGAACAAUUGGAGGGCAAGUCUGGUGCCAGCAGCCGCGGUAAUUCCAGCUCCAAUAGCGUAUAUUAAAGUUGUUGCAGUUAAAAAGCUCGUAGUUGAACCUUGGGCCUGGCUGGCCGGUCCGCCUCACCGCGUGCACUGGUCCGGCCGGGCCUUUCCUUCUGGAGAGCCGCAUGCCCUUCACUGGGUGUGUCGGGGAACCAGGACUUUUACUUUGAAAAAAUUAGAGUGUUCAAAGCAGGCCUUUGCUCGAAUACGUUAGCAUGGAAUAAUAGAAUAGGACGUGCGGUCCUAUUUUGUUGGUUUCUAGGACCGCCGUAAUGAUUAAUAGGGAUAGUCGGGGGCAUCAGUAUUCAAUUGUCAGAGGUGAAAUUCUUGGAUUUAUUGAAGACUAACUACUGCGAAAGCAUUUGCCAAGGAUGUUUUCAUUAAUCAGUGAACGAAAGUUAGGGGAUCGAAGACGAUCAGAUACCGUCGUAGUCUUAACCGUAAACUAUGCCGACUAGGGAUCGGGCGAUGUUAUUAUUUUGACUCGCUCGGCACCUUACGAGAAAUCAAAGUUUUUGG
This 1015-nucleotide ribosomal RNA is filed under the name Gloniopsis praelonga. RNAcentral describes it as "SSU rRNA". It matches the Rfam family "Eukaryotic small subunit ribosomal RNA", at positions 87 to 1110 of the family's 1831-position model. The record is from RNAcentral. Lineage: Eukaryota; Fungi; Ascomycota; Dothideomycetes; Hysteriales; Hysteriaceae.